Molecule: ribosomal RNA, 402 nt
Filed under: uncultured Clostridium sp.
Lineage: Bacteria; Bacillati; Bacillota; Clostridia; Eubacteriales; Clostridiaceae
Description: bacterial SSU rRNA
Rfam family: Bacterial small subunit ribosomal RNA
Source: RNAcentral
UGGGGAAUAUUGCACAAUGGGGGAAACCCUGAUGCAGCAACGCCGCGUGAGUGAUGAAGGUUUUCGGAUCGUAAAACUCUGUCUUUGGGGACGAUAAUGACGGUACCCAAGGAGGAAGCCACGGCUAACUACGUGCCAGCAGCCGCGGUAAUACGUAGGUGGCAAGCGUUGUCCGGAUUUACUGGGCGUAAAGGGAGCGUAGGUGGAUUUUUAAGUGAGAUGUGAAAUACUCGGGCUCAACCCGAGAACUGCAUUUCAAACUGGAAAUCUAGAGUGCAGGAGAGGAAAGUGGAAUUCCUAGUGUAGCGGUGAAAUGCGUAGAUAUUAGGAAGAACACCAGUGGCGAAGGCGACUUUCUGGACUGUAACUGACACUGAGGCUCGAAAGCGUGGGGAGCAAACA